GUUCUGCUGUUGAAAGGCCGUUGAUACUGACAUCCUACUCAUGCCACACAAAAUAACCCCUUUCCCAAACAGAAUCAGCAAUGGACUGAGUGAUCUGGAAGGCUACUCUGUCAUAGAAGUGGAAACAGUCUUGGUAGUCCAUUUGGCUCUUCUGGGUUCAAGUUUUAUUUUUGCCACUUAACAUCUAAGUAAAUGAAUCCACAGGAACUUAACCCACAACAGAAGCUUAGUGUAAUGGAAACUCCAUCCCAACCAGGAAAUGUCAAGAACACAAAGUUUCCUCUAGCUCCAGCUUCCUGUUAAGGACUACACUAUCUUCUCCAGAAAGUUGGGACAUCAGCAUUUUAUAUCCUGACUUCAAGUUACCUGUCAAAGAGGAUAAUUCCUGAAAAAAAGCAGCAGUGUUAUUUUCUUCUUUCCGGCCCUAUUUGUGGUAUCAAAGCUUCAACUAAGGUGUAGUGAGCUGAAAGUAUGGGAUUCCUGUUCACCCUCACUGUCUUGGUCAUAAAGUGGAGAUUAAGUGUUGGGAAAGAAAAAGCUAAUAAAACUAGGUCCCGAGGCAA
Non-coding RNA from Macaca mulatta (Rhesus monkey), 563 nucleotides. NCBI's taxonomy places the organism in Eukaryota, Metazoa, Chordata, Mammalia, Primates, Cercopithecidae. The record is from RefSeq and is a predicted model, not a curated record.